GGGUUGUGAGGUUAAGCGACUAAGCGUACACGGUGGAUGCCCUGGCAGUCAGAGGCGAUGAAGGACGUGCUAAUCUGCGAAAAGCGUCGGUAAGGUGAUAUGAACCGUUACAGCCGGCGAUGUCCGAAUGGGGAAACCCAGUGCAAUUCGUUGCACUAUCGUUAACUGAAUACAUAGGUUAACGAGGCGAACCGGGGGAACUGAAACAUCUAAGUACCCCGAGGAAAAGAAAUCAACCGAGAUUCCCCCAGUAGCGGCGAGCGAACGGGGAGCAGCCCAGAGUCUGAAUCAGCUUGUGUGUUAGUGGAACGGUCUGGAAAGUCCGACGGUACAGGGUGAUAGUCCCGUACACCAAAAUGCACAGGCUGUGAACUCGAAGAGUAGGGCGGGACACGUGGUAUCCUGUCUGAAUAUGGGGGGACCAUCCUCCAAGGCUAAAUACUCCUGACUGACCGAUAGUGAACCAGUACCGUGAGGGAAAGGCGAAAAGAACCCCGGCGAGGGGAGUGAAAAAGAACCUGAAACCGUGUACGUACAAGCAGUGGGAGCACCUUCGGGUGUGACUGCGUACCUUUUGUAUAAUGGGUCAGCGACUUAUAUUCUGUAGCAAGGUUAACCGUAUAGGGGAGCCGCAGGGAAACCGAGUCUUAACUGGGCGUUAAGUUGCAGGGUAUAGACCCGAAACCCGGUGAUCUAGCCAUGGGCAGGUUGAAGGUUGGGUAACACUAACUGGAGGACCGAACCGACUAAUGUUGAAAAAUUAGCGGAUGACUUGUGGCUGGGGGUGAAAGGCCAAUCAAACCGGGAGAUAGCUGGUUCUCCCCGAAAGCUAUUUAGGUAGCGCCUCGUGAAUUCAUCUUCGGGGGUAGAGCACUGUUUCGGCUAGGGGGUCAUCCCGACUUACCAACCCGAUGCAAACUACGAAUACCGAAGAAUGUUAUCACGGGAGACACACGGCGGGUGCUAACGUCCGUCGUGAAGAGGGAAACAACCCAGACCGCCAGCUAAGGUCCCAAAGUCAUGGUUAAGUGGGAAACGAUGUGGGAAGGCACAGACAGCCAGGAUGUUGGCUUAGAAGCAGCCAUCAUUUAAAGAAAGCGUAAUAGCUCACUGGUCGAGUCGGCCUGCGCGGAAGAUGUAACGGGGCUAAACCAUGCACCGAAGCUGCGGCAGCGACACUAUGUGUUGUUGGGUAGGGGAGCGUUCUGUAAGCCUGCGAAGGUGACCUGUGAGGGUUGCUGGAGGUAUCAGAAGUGCGAAUGCUGACAUAAGUAACGAUAAAGCGGGUGAAAAGCCCGCUCGCCGGAAGACCAAGGGUUCCUGUCCAACGUUAAUCGGGGCAGGGUGAGUCGACCCCUAAGGCGAGGCCGAAAGGCGUAGUCGAUGGGAAACAGGUUAAUAUUCCUGUACUUGGUGUUACUGCGAAGGGGGGACGGAGAAGGCUAUGUUAGCCGGGCGACGGUUGUCCCGGUUUAAGCAUGUAGGCUGGUUGUCCAGGCAAAUCCGGAUAAUCAAGGCUGAGGUGUGAUGACGAGGCACUACGGUGCUGAAGUAACAAAUGCCCUGCUUCCAGGAAAAGCCUCUAAGCAUCAGGUAACAUCAAAUCGUACCCCAAACCGACACAGGUGGUCAGGUAGAGAAUACCAAGGCGCUUGAGAGAACUCGGGUGAAGGAACUAGGCAAAAUGGUGCCGUAACUUCGGGAGAAGGCACGCUGGUGUGUAGGUGAAGUCCCUGCGGAUGGAGCUGAGACCAGUCGAAGAUACCAGCUGGCUGCAACUGUUUAUUAAAAACACAGCACUGUGCAAACACGAAAGUGGACGUAUACGGUGUGACGCCUGCCCGGUGCCGGAAGGUUAAUUGAUGGGGUUAUCCGUAAGGAGAAGCUCUUGAUCGAAGCCCCGGUAAACGGCGGCCGUAACUAUAACGGUCCUAAGGUAGCGAAAUUCCUUGUCGGGUAAGUUCCGACCUGCACGAAUGGCGUAAUGAUGGCCAGGCUGUCUCCACCCGAGACUCAGUGAAAUUGAACUCGCUGUGAAGAUGCAGUGUACCCGCGGCAAGACGGAAAGACCCCGUGAACCUUUACUAUAGCUUGACACUGAACAUUGAGCCUUGAUGUGUAGGAUAGGUGGGAGGCUUUGAAGCGUGGACGCCAGUCUGCGUGGAGCCAACCUUGAAAUACCACCCUUUAAUGUUUGAUGUUCUAACGUUGGCCCCUUACCGGGGUUGCGGACAGUGUCUGGUGGGUAGUUUGACUGGGGCGGUCUCCUCCCAAAGCGUAACGGAGGAGCACGAAGGUUAGCUAAUCCUGGUCGGACAUCAGGAGGUUAGUGCAAUGGCAUAAGCUAGCUUGACUGCGAGCGUGACGGCGCGAGCAGGUGCGAAAGCAGGUCAUAGUGAUCCGGUGGUUCUGAAUGGAAGGGCCAUCGCUCAACGGAUAAAAGGUACUCCGGGGAUAACAGGCUGAUACCGCCCAAGAGUUCAUAUCGACGGCGGUGUUUGGCACCUCGAUGUCGGCUCAUCACAUCCUGGGGCUGAAGUAGGUCCCAAGGGUAUGGCUGUUCGCCAUUUAAAGUGGUACGCGAGCUGGGUUUAGAACGUCGUGAGACAGUUCGGUCCCUAUCUGCCGUGGGCGCUGGAGAAUUGAGGGGGGCUGCUCCUAGUACGAGAGGACCGGAGUGGACGCAUCACUGGUGUUCGGGUUGUCAUGCCAAUGGCACUGCCCGGUAGCUAAAUGCGGAAGAGAUAAGUGCUGAAAGCAUCUAAGCACGAAACUUGCCCCGAGAUGAGUUCUCCCUGAGACUUUAAGUCUCCUGAAGGAACGUUGAAGACGACGACGUUGAUAGGCCGGGUGUGUAAGCGCAGCGAUGCGUUGAGCUAACCGGUACUAAUGAACCGUGAGGCUUAACCUUACAACGCCGAAG
RNAcentral lists this ribosomal RNA (2923 nucleotides) under Klebsiella pneumoniae. RNAcentral describes it as "23S ribosomal RNA". It matches the Rfam family "Bacterial large subunit ribosomal RNA". Lineage: Bacteria; Pseudomonadati; Pseudomonadota; Gammaproteobacteria; Enterobacterales; Enterobacteriaceae. The record is from RNAcentral.